CCAGCCUCUGCCCUCCCCUGAGGAGCACCGAAGUCCAAGCCCCCAGAGGCAGCCGAGAGCUGGAUGGCACCCCCAGGAUGACAUCAAAGGAGGAGGCCCUGUGAGCCCUGCCCCCGCGCACAGGCAGGGAGCCCUUCCUGAGCUGCAGAGGAAGAUACAGCAGGUGGAAGACAAUUUGGAUGAGCUGAAUGAGGAGUUCUUCCAGCUCACUGCUCAAGCCUUAGCGCUCCAGAAAGAAGAGGACAGAACAAGCCAACUGCCACCUAGCAAAGGCAGUCCGUGUGUGGUGGUUCCCAGGAUCUGCCCCUCUGAGCAGCAUGAAGACAGACCCCACCAGGGAAAGGCAGGUGUCCCCAGCGGAAAGAACCUGGGACCCUGGGCCCUGCAGAGCAGCCAGGCCCUGGCACUGGAGGCCAGGAGAGCCUGGGUGGCCCGCAGGGCAGAAGAGCUGGAGUGGGAACUAUCCUUGCUCGUCCAGGUGGCGGCUGGCAGCCGGCUGAGCCUGGGGAGGCGCUGAGUCAGAGGAGGCCGGGCUCCUUCUCCAGGGGCUUGGCCAGGCGCCUCUGCUGUCUGCUGGCAGGAAGGGGGCGUAUGUGCUCAGCUUUGGGACCUGCUCCUUCAAAGCCCAGCAGGCAGCCUGUGUUGGUUUCUGCCUGUGAUCCUUGGGGUGAAGGAAAAUAAAGUCACACAG
Long non-coding RNA from Bos indicus x Bos taurus (hybrid cattle), 691 nucleotides. The record is from Ensembl. NCBI's taxonomy places the organism in Eukaryota, Metazoa, Chordata, Mammalia, Artiodactyla, Bovidae.